UCUGCCAAAGCAAAUGCAGGCACCAUCUGAAGAAGUGGCAAACAACAAAUUGUGCCGUCUUUUUGACUGCAGCCAUCUUACUACAUAUGGAGAAACCGUUGAGUCCUUGCAAAUUCAUAACGAAAGGCUCCAGAAUAAUGCAGCCUGCCACGAUGAAGCUACAGGAAGGCCAAGGUUGCGGGCAACAGCACUGGACAGGCAUAGGAGCUUCGCAGCCUCACCCUGUUGGAUGCUCUUUUACUGUUUCCAUUUCUUGGAACUGAGGCAUUGGAACAAGCCCUGCUCACACCUUGCCUUGUGGAGAAAGAAGGACUUACUCUACACAUUGACGGGGAGCCCGUUUUGAGUGUGCCAUCACUUCUUGCAGGAAUGGCGUGCCUGU
Long non-coding RNA from Rhipicephalus sanguineus (brown dog tick), 382 nucleotides. RefSeq lists it as uncharacterized. The transcript has 3 exons. Lineage: Eukaryota; Metazoa; Arthropoda; Arachnida; Ixodida; Ixodidae. The record is from RefSeq and is a predicted model, not a curated record.